AGGACGAGAAGAUUUGCUUGCUAUAUGUAGCAAGUGCACCGAUGGUGCAUAACACACUUAUUGUAUGCGAGAAAUGCUUCGGAAAGUUCCUGAAGGUGAUUGGCUCUGUGAAGAAUAGAAGCUGGCUGAGGAAACUGAAAGCCAAAAGCAAGGUUUGGAUGCUGAGGG
This is a long non-coding RNA of Hibiscus syriacus, 168 nucleotides long. RefSeq lists it as uncharacterized. Lineage: Eukaryota; Viridiplantae; Streptophyta; Magnoliopsida; Malvales; Malvaceae. The record is from RefSeq and is a predicted model, not a curated record. The transcript has 3 exons.